Molecule: long non-coding RNA, 9919 nt
Filed under: Volvox carteri
Lineage: Eukaryota; Viridiplantae; Chlorophyta; Chlorophyceae; Chlamydomonadales; Volvocaceae
Description: long non-coding RNA (VCAR_LNC000090)
Source: RNAcentral
GCGGACAUACAUACAGCGGCUACAUAUAUGGCAGGCGGCUGGCAGAGGUUAAGGCCUGACUUCUGCUCCCAGUCGACCCAGUCGACCCGGGUUCAAAUCCGCCUGCCGGCUCCUCGGGUGUUUGAGGAGUGAUGAAAUGGGAGGUGGCCCCCCAUCUUAUGGACGGUGUAGGACGUGAUAAUAUCAACUUGCGAGCUGACCAGGAACUAAGUUGAUGCGCCGUUGAUCCGCUAGAUUUGGUUGGAUGCUGGUGGUGAGUUGCCGAACCCAACGAAUACAUUCUGAAGUCGGAUGGGGUGACGGAUUAGGGUGCCCCUCUAGCAGGGGAGAGCAGGGACUGCCCCGGGAAAGGGGGCCGCUGGCGAAGUUGACCACCCUGUAACAACAUACAUACAGCGGGUUCAAAUCCGCCUGCCGACCCCUCGGUGUGUGAGGGGUGUUGAAUUGGAAGGUGGCCCCCAAUCUUGUGGACGGUGUAGGACGUGAUUAUAGCAAUUUGUGAGCUGACCAGGAACUAAGUUGUGGCGCCGUUGAUCCGCUAGAUUUGGUUGGUGGUGAGUUGCUGAACCCAACGAAUACAUUCUGAAGUCGGAUGGGGUGAUUGGAUUAGGGUGCCCCUCUAGCAGGGGAGAGCAUGCCUCGGGAAAGGGGGCCGCUGGUGGAGCUAUACCACCCUGUAACAACAUACAUACAGGCGGACAGUUCUGCAGGCAGUGGCUAGUAGUGGGGCUUGAAGGGACCUUCACAACCCUUCAGAGUCCCACAUUUUUUGGUCAAUCAGUAGGUAAUCGGCUAAUUCCUCUUAAUGGAUCCUAUCCAGGCAUCCAAGAUGGUGAAGGCAGAGUAAUGCUAUACAUAUGCGUGUGUGUUACAUGGUUGGGGGUUGCGUGCCCCCAUACCUGUAAAACAACCCAUACGAGCCGAAGGCCCAAGGAACAUCUAUACGCCUAAAAGCCACGGAUAAAAAGAAACACCGCACUAUCAGCCCAGACUAGCGCCCAAAGGGGAUAACUGGGUUGCGGUGAGCCGUUACAUACGUUCCAACAUCCUCACCAGACGUACUGACUCCCAUUUCAUGGCCUCCAACAUGCUCUGUUGAUGAUUAAAUCCCUCUUCCGCACGAAUUUCAUUAUAGACUCGGCAUUCCAAUAACACAUGCUUUUCAUCAUCGACGUCCUGUACAUAUGUCUGCGGCAUAUGUGUGCCUAAAGCAUGCACCCACGCAUCACCUUUCCCCUCCGGCGUGUUCACCUGCAUGAUGUUUUCGCCGUAGUCCUUGCCACCGGAAUGCUUGAGAGAGCAGCCGGCAUCGGCCAGCUUUUGCGCGUAGGUGGUCGCCGAAGCGGCCAAGUUUGCGUCCCAUUGCAUGGGGCCUGCCUGGUGACGCGCACGGUAGACGUUGUGCUGAGCCAAGGUUGCUCGGGCGUCAGGGCAGUUGCCGCCUGUGGGAGCGGGAUGGAGAGGCGUGGAGGGGUGGGGUGGGGCGGCGCGGGGCAAGGGUGUAUGUCACAGACGAUGGAGGUGGGUGUGCUUCAAUAAAACUACCGGUUUUGAAGCGGUUAGCGAGGUCACACGGAGUGUGAACGCCAACAGCGUCACUUUGAGAGCUGCCUGACUUGGCAACGCCAUCUUCGCACUAUGAAGGUGAAAGGUGGAAUCGCUUGAGAGUUAAGACGUACCUCCAAGUGAUGGGGGGGGUCUCAACACUGGUGACCGAGGCACAUUGGGAGGGGGUGGGGGUGGGGGCGGUGGGGGCGGUGGGGGCGGGCUUGCUAAUGGGGGGGGCCUGGGUGAGACGGCUGGUCUCGGUGGGCUUCGAACAGGUGGGGGUCUGGGCGGGGGCUUGCGAGUUCGGGGAGAUGGUGGCGGGCGCCUUGGUGACCUUGGCUGCCGUGGUGCGGUGGGCGAAUCCGGUGCGUAGUCCGAGGAGUCGACGUCUAUGCCUAGAGCCUCGCGCCGACUUCUCAACCGGACCUCGCCUGUGAGGUGUGAACAGUAAAGGUGGUCCAAACUUCAUGAGCCAUUUCAGAGGCAGCUUCAAGGUUUCUGUCGGCACAUAUUCAAACCCGUUUUUGACCAAGGAGAGCAACGAACAUGAAAUACAGGCAUAUUACUGUUUACACGUACUCACGCUUGCUAUGGAAGCCAUGGUCUGACAUUCCCUGGACAAGAGACAUGAUUGUCAGGGACAAAGCUAGGAUGGCGACAGUGCCGAGUUGACCCAUCGUCUUCGUCUCCUUAGCUAGAUAGUUAGGUAUGAAAUGAAAGUUGUGACGUUGGUAUAAGCAACUUGCUUUGUUGAUGUGACCUGGGCUAAGCAGAUAGCAUUUGUGCGUCACGUGUGUCUUUAAGUUGCCUAGGCUAUAUUUCUGUAGAGUAUGUACGUCAUAUGUAUAAUUCGCCAAGCACUAUUGAAUCCAUUAGUGAUGGUUUCCGGCGGAAAUCAAAGGUACCUGGCGGUCGUUCGUAAGCCUGUACGGAAAAAGCAAGCGCCCAACACAGACCGCAAUGUUUAUUUGGUGACGACGUUGCGGCGGAAUCAGAGAAUGUGAAAUUAUAGGUUCCAGGAUGAUUGUAAAACUUCUCUCAUAGAUAUCAGAUGCACUUUUUGAUUACCUUUUGGAGAACUCUAUGGCGUCCUACGUGACUAGGUUUUGAGAAAAAUAAAUUUUCAAAGCGAAACUCUCAACUUUCACCCUAACAUAGAAGAUUUACGUUUCCAUGGAAUGGCGGGCUCUGGAGGCGGCUGAAAUGUCGUAUGCGCACGCCCAACGUCGGCAAUCCUCAAACAUGCCAUGACGACUACGUAAAUACUCUCUAUAACCAGCAAGCUUUGCGCGGGAAUCGCUGGCUCUGGCCACGAUGACGUGCUAUGGCUAUCUUCGGAAUAAGUCGGAAGACCACCGUGCCGUGUUGUAUCCGUUAUUUUAUAAGGCUUCGACAGAUCACAUAGCAAAUGAGAUCCAAAGAAGUAGAUGACAUCGCCAACCUGCAUGAAGGGCAGAUUGCCACGGAUCCCUCAAUCUUCGGAGCCUUCAUCAGGUUUCUUUUCGAUCAUCUAGGAGAGAUGCAGCUUACAAUGAAAGAACCUGAUCAGCCGGUCUCGUUCGACAAUCCGGAUAGUAACGCCGCCUUACUCGCUGGCGGCUUGUGCUUUUCAUUUCUGAAACCACCGUCCAAACGACAUCUUCACUGCAACAAAAAUUUAGAUAUCUUUUCCUAUAUGAUCAAGAUAAACCGCAGCUCCGCGCAUACAGCCCGAACCACAGUUUGCAACUGUCCCUCGCGACCUCGCGGUUUGAGGCUUACGCGGGAGAUUUUAACCUUGGCGAGCCCACAGAGUACGCCAGGCAUCGUGCAUAGAGACCGUUGAGCACAUUCACGCACGCAGGGAUGUAACUGGGGCAGCCCUCCGUUUGGAAGGCUCGGCCUGCUGGCCUGCGCCGUUGCCUAUGACCACGCACCCUCUUGUUUUGCCUACCCACCUGUCUACGUGUACAUCCGCCUGGCUACCUGCCCACCGUCUGCCUACCUACCUGCUUCUCUGUCUGCCUGCCUACCUGCCAGCCUGCCUGCCUAAUGCCUGCACAGGUGCUACUGACAAAACUUGAACUUUCUUCGACGAUAAAUGCUUUGCCAGGGACAGGAUUUUUCCAUUUCACUAAUGAAAAAAUUCCGUACCCUAGCUUGACCGUAGUUUAGAGGCUUCUGCUAUGACAUGAAUUUUGCGCCACUUCGCUAUAUUGAACCGCCGUCGCCAGUCGCGACAACGCGCGAUAACGGGGCAAAAGUUAAAAACGUCGACAGCUGCGUUGCAGCCCAGGUAGUUGUAUUGCUUGCGAUGUUGUGUCUAUCUAAAGGACGCGCGAUUUGCUGCUGGCCUAGAGGCACAAGUUCUACUCAACAGCUCGAUGCAACCGACCCAAAGUUAUCGAUUACCUUUGACCACAUCUGUCUUGAAAAAAAAAUUCGGAAAACUCAGAAAAUACGGGACACGCUCAAUAAUAAUAAUAAUAAUAAUAAUUUGGAUACAGCAAUCGCUCCAAUAAUGUGCUGCGUGUUGCCUGCCCUCGACAUCGAGCUGCUGCUUACGCUUUAUUUCCCAGUCUGGUUCCAACUUGUGGUUUCCGAGGCUCCCCGACGGCGCCGGCAGCGCACCUUAGUCCUUCGUUACCGACAGCUGGGCGAUCUCGUCCUAUGUAAAGCAAAAUUUUGCAGAAUGGGGGCAUAACUAGCCAAGCGCCGUGCCCCAUAGUGUCGCAAGCAUCCUCUCCAGCUCGCAAGCAUCCUCUCCCACUCGCUGUGUUUUACACGUGCUUCCAAAUAUGGCACAACCAAGAUGAUGACGCCGCUGGGAAUCAUCGAAUGGAGAUAAGAUCGUCCUGAGAUCGCUAAACCAAAAGCGCAUAACAAACUAAGGAAUAGGAGGCGCGCCAGCAGAACAACCUACUACUUAUACAACUACUACAACUACUACUACUCAGACGGACCGACUCAGCAGCUCUGCAACAUCACAUAAUAACCGGUCAUGCAUCUUAAUAUCGUUGUCUAUUAGGCGAUAAAUAUAGCCGACGAUAGCCUAUGGCUGUAGUCCGCACCGUCUACAGUCGAGCUCGGCUAUAUCGCCUGAACUACUGGGUCGGGUUGACUAAUAGUCGAGAAGAGGCGCUAGAGUCGAUCAGAAAAAUGCAGACGGUCCGGUCCCCCUUCGCUGAUGCACAUACACGGCUUAACCAACCGGUCCGGCCAGUUUGUGCCUGGUCAGUAAAAGCUCUCAGGCUGCGUCCCAGCCGGCGUCCCAGUAAAGAAGCUAGCUACGGCCCACGCCCCGCCUACACGUCAUCAGGCGGCGUGGAUAAAUUUCCACAACAAAUAGGUAGGUAGACAGAUGCGGGUUGGUCACGCAAUGCCAUCCGAAGACCUCGUAAGUCGGGAAAUAGCUAGCAUAGCACAGCAGCGGACAGAACAAGGGGCUUCGCCGAACCAGGAAAUCAGGAAACCUGAUGUGAUGUGACAAUAAUGUGGAGGCGCAUCAUGGAGAGCCCUGCAACAACUAACCCUUACAUGUAUAGCAUCGUCUAGACAAGCUGAAGGCCCAUAGACCUGCUAAUGAAAUUCAGCGGAAGUACUUUUGGAGUUGAAUGGAAGGCUGGAAGGAGAACACACGUCACGCAAGGCGGAUGAGAGCGGGACCAUCUUUUUCCAGCAUCUAGGAAGGCCUUUUCGGCGGCUGGCAGCAGGAUCACCGCACAGCACGAACGACUCAGCAAAUAAUCAAGAAAGGCACCACACCCACGACUAGGACGCAGGCUGAUAUGUGGCCCCACCCACUCCCCAAACAAGCUAAUAAGGACGACACGAACGCAGGUGCGUGAAAAGCCACAAAGCUAGAUAGCCCACAGACGCAGCGUACUAGCUGCUGCCGCACAGCACCCCGACGUCUCCUCUUCCCACACCAGCCAUCCUUCACCCCUCGCAAAGACACAGACCCAACUCGCUUCCAAAGCAAGACAUAAAUGCAGAGGACAAUUGAAGCUGUAGUAGCUGGCCUCCCGCUGAAAAGGCCUCCCGAGAUGCUGGUGAAGCGCUUCGAGCGCGUAUUUGUAGCUGAUAUGUGUGCCGUACUGUGUACCAACAACUGCAGAGUCAUGCAUGAACGGCUGGGCGGAUUACAAAGAUGGAAUCGCCGCGCGAGGGCGGAAUGGAUGUGCUGACCCCGUUGCCCGCAGCAAUGAGUACCUUUCACAAAAACCUAGAUAACUCAAGGUAUAACCUAACUGUCACCGCGUCAUAACCCUUCUAUGGAGACGCAUGCAUUCAUGCAUGCAAGGUACGCCCAGGCAUGCAUGCAGCUUGAUUGCCCAAGUCCUUGGAUGCCUCUUCAUGCAUGCACCAAUUGGUGCGUAUGUCGUGGCUGCUGCUGAUUCGUACGUUGUCGCCCUAUGGCAGCCAGAACCGUGUCUGCAGCGAAUCAAAAUUCAAAGCACGCACUCUAUGAUAUGAUAAGCUGCAUUCCGUGGACUACUUUUAAGCUUGACUUUUUAUGGCUAUAAAUAACCACGCUAUGCGUGCUGAUCCCAUCCGCCUUAACUAUUUCCUGCUGCAAACACGCGCUCAACCACGCACGCAUGCGCGUGCUUGCGUCGUCAUAAGGCAACAGGGGAUGGCUGGUUGAAUGAACCCUAAGCAUGCAACCCCCGCCGCUUAAAGCCACAUGUCAAGUGUGCCCACCCUGCGUAGAUCCUUGCCUCCAGUGCAGCCGCUUGAAACGUUUCCCCGAAAAUAUCCUAUCGUAGGUGGACAAUAAUAAUAGACACAGCUAUAUAGAUAUUGUACCCCUACGGCAAGCGGCCGUCAUUACUCAGGCUGAGUAAUAAUGAUGCGCCCGCGCGCCAGCAGCGCCAUCAUGUGUGGGGUGUGGCCACCAUCGUCGUCGUCGGGUCAUGCAAGCUUAAGGUUCUUGCAUGGUGUGAAUCUCGGCCUGUCUGUCCGUCCCAAUCGCCACACUUCUUCCCCGCUGCCUGCUAUUCAUUUCACAUUCACUUCUGCUGGUUGUUGUCACGUACGGAUGGACACGACCGAUGAUCGUAUGUAUGUACGUCCGGACAUGCAAAUGAUUAGCGCCUGAGUAGCAGCAGUGCCUUGGGAGGCCAGCACCCACUCUAUAAAUAGUGGUAUUGAUCCAGCACCACUGUAGAACGCGUAUCAUAUGGUGGUAGUUGGCAGCAGAGUAGUGGUCGAUGGCAGCAGACCUAACCGCAGGUGUAUUAGCGCGCGGAAUUCCAUUUCACAGCACAGCGCCUUGGAGCUCCUGAAGCUAGAUAGCUAUAGGUAUAUAGGCGGUCCUGCUACUGUUUGCCAGAAGGUACGCUGUGGACCAUUUGCUGUGAGGCUAUAUAUGCUAUUGCGGAUCGUCCCAGAUAACUAUGGCCGAGCUGUUGCGCAGUACUGCAGGUACGGGAAGCCGGGGGGAGGGGCAGCAGGGGAUGUGAAAUAAAGCAAGGCGCGAGCGCACAGCAGACACAGACGGUAGCAAGAUUGAUCUGAUCGUGACGAUGCAGCAUACACGCACGGCUGCCAGCCAUUUCACCUAAACCCUACGCUAACACACAAUGAGGGGGUUGCGUGGCACCUGAGCUAGCGUAUGAGGCUGGCAAUAGGAUUCGAACAGAUGACGGCGCCUUGCGGCUAUGAGGGGUGACGGUUACGACCCGACACUGACAGAUGGAAUUAAUGUCCUUCCAAAAGAUACAAAGCAUUAGGAGAUUUACCCAUGGGGGUGGGUAUCGUCUCCCGGCCAUAAGGGGCUAAUGAGAUGGGUGUAACAAAUACACACACAGAUGACACACACACACAGACACAGACACAGACACACACACACAGACACACAGACAGACACACAUAUCAGCUUAGCCCCCAUCAACUCUCGCUUUCCUGCAGCACAAGCCGCGCCUUUAACGGGACCAAUAAUGGGAUUUCCAGUCAGGCAAGCAAGCAGUCGAGCAAAUAAGAGAAAAAGCUUGUAAUAAACUCGUAAACAUUACAGGCCACUUACCGUUUACCGCGAAGACAUUGUCGGAGGGGAUGUUGCCAGCCCAUCUGUAACGGCACACAACCAUCUUGCAGGCGCCGAUGUACGUCCGCAUGUUAAAUUCUAUGGGGUGACUGUAAUUCACCGCAACACCGCAGCCAAUGAGGGUUGUUGACCUCCAAACCAACUGCGUAAAAUGCCCAACCAUCUGAGAUUGGUACCAAUUGUCUUUGAACAGCCGCUUAGCAUCAAAAUUGUAGUACAUGACCUCUCGGUACCAGGCAGUGGGCGCCAGAAUGCAGGUGCUAUCGAUUGAGGGAUAGCCCCGCUUCGUUACAAGAUUCUCUCCGUCCAUACCCAUGGAAUGCGCGAGGAUGCAGUCCCUGCGAGCCAACACAUGGGCAUAAGCGGUGGCCUCCGCGGCCAUCUCCGCGUCCCACUGCAGGGCCGGUGUUUGAUGCCGAGCGCGGUACCAGUUAUGGCGCUCCAGGAUUGUUUUUGCGUCGGGGCAGUUGCUGCCUGCGUGGCGGCGCGGGGAAGAACCAAGUCGAUGAAAAACAUCUGCGCAUCGCUCCGUUUAUUAUUAUAUAUUUAUCUUGGGAUGCGCGGCAGCAGCAUGCGGAUACGUUGGAGGAGGUUAUCAGUACGCGUAUGUCAGUAUAUGUUAUCAGUAUGUGUUUGUUGGAACGGCGGAAUAAUAAUGGGACAAUACGUAUACAUGUAAUAGAGCACGCAGCAGAAGGAACAUGCAUGUAUGGUCGACGCCGCAAUAUCAUUUCAUCCUAUAAAAACAUCAUCAUCAUCAAACGCACUAAGUAGCGUGAUGAUGGAAUGAACAGGUAAGUGGCAUGGAUGUUGCGCACAGCAGGCAGGAGGAGGAUAUGUACAUACAUUCAAAUAAAUAAACCUUAAGUGCGAAUUCAAUACGCAAAUGGCUUCUGGUCCCGUGCACAUUUAUGCACAUGUAUUUACUGUUAUGAAUUGUAUGAAUGGAUGCUUGCUGAUUAACUUAGGUUGUGCUAUACAGCAUGGUUGCCGGCGCAUGGCACCAGAGCUCGCAAGCAAAAUUCAGUCCUAAAUGCAGGCCAACCCUCAGUUUAUUACGAGUGUCGCCAUAGUAUUAUUGCUGCCUGACCUGGGAGGGUGCCAUUACCGGCGGAGACGGGGGGCGGCGGUGGUGGUGGCGGCGAUGCUAGCGAGCGGGGCAGAGGCGGCAUCAGAGGCGGCACAGGUCUUCGAGGAGGCGGACUGCGUGGAGGCAAGGGCGGUGGAGGCGGCCGAGGCUUCGGGGGCGACGGAGGCGGCCGACUCCUUGGCGGCGGGCGAGGCGGCCGCGGCGGGCCAGCACGCCUGAUGUUAACCAUGAUCGGUCGGGGUGGUUGUCGGGGGCUUGGGGGGGGACCUGUGUGCGAGCGGAUAAAUUGUUGCAAUCUACUUUGUUGUCAUUCAUUAGCCAAUCCUGUUUCCGUCAGCAGGUAGGCAGGCAGAUAGGCAGGCAGCAACGAAAUGCCAUUAUCGCCACGGAAGGCAGGAGAUUUCUGCCAAUGAGAUUUGUCCUGGCGAAGACUUGGCUGGCUGGUGUGCAACGGCGCGUAUGUGGGACGGCGGCCGGGGACAGAUAAACACCGUCACUUGCAUCUGCAUGGCCUCCAUUUCCCUUCGUUUCGGGGCAACCUAGUCUAAACAAGUUAUUAGGGGAUAUACAUACAGCAUCCGCUCACGUCCGGGGGCAUCUGUAAAAGCCUGCGGCCCCGGGCGGCCUCAUGAACGGUUCUUUGUUGUUACUGGAUAAUAACACAUACACACACAUACGCACACAUACACACAUACACACACAUACACACACAUACACAUACAUACACACACAUACACACACAUACACACACAUACACACACAUACACACAUACACACACAUACACACACAUACACACACAUACACAAAUACACACACAUACACACACAUACACACACAUACACACACAUACACAAAUACACACACAUACACACACAUACACAAAUACACACACAUACACACACAUACACACAAUGGGAGGUGGCCCCCCAUCAUAUGGACGGUGUAGGACGUGAUAAUAUCAACUUGCGAGCUGAUCAGGAACUAAGUUGAUGCGCCGUUGAUCCGCUAGAUUUGGUUGGAUGCUGGUGGUGAGUUGCCGAACCCAACGAAUACAUUCUGAAGUCGGAUGGGGUGACGGAUUAGGGUGCCCCUCUAGCAGGGGAGAGCAGGGACUGCCCCGGGAAAGGGGGCCGCUGGCGAAGUUAACCACCCUGUAACAACAUACACACACAUACACACACAUACACACGCAUACACACACAUACACACAUACACACAUGUUGUGGUCCUAAUAGCCGAAUUGAGGAUGAAA